Molecule: unclassified non-coding RNA, 277 nt
Filed under: Hevea brasiliensis (rubber tree)
Lineage: Eukaryota; Viridiplantae; Streptophyta; Magnoliopsida; Malpighiales; Euphorbiaceae
Source: RNAcentral
UAUAUUUUUGCUGCUUUCGAUGAGGUUAGUGCCUGAGUAAAUUUCCUUGAUAUUAUUUUAUGUUUGAAUGAACUUUCAUUAGUUGUCUUGUUAGUUAGAAAUUAUCCAUCUCCUUCUGUCUUUACUUUUCAAUUACUUGGAUGAUAGAACAGUUGAAAAUAUGAAUGAGAUGACAUGACUGAAUGAUAUUUUUCAGAAAAAUAAGGAAUUGGUGUUAAAUCAGAACUGCUGCAAAGGACUUCCAAUAAAAUGGAUCUAAUUUCCAAUAAAGUGUGGG